This 324-nucleotide unclassified non-coding RNA is filed under the name plant metagenome. RNAcentral describes it as "partial contains 5.8S ribosomal RNA, internal transcribed spacer 2, and large subunit ribosomal RNA". The stretch from base 1 to 105 matches the Rfam family "5.8S ribosomal RNA", at positions 50 to 154 of the family's 154-position model. The record is from RNAcentral.
GAAAUGCGAUACGUAAUGUGAAUUGCAGAAUUCAGUGAAUCAUCGAGUCUUUGAACGCACAUUGCGCCCCCUGGUAUUCCGGGGGGCAUGCCUGUCCGAGCGUCAUUGCUGCCCUCAAGCACGGCUUGUGUGUUGGGCCCCCGUCCCCCCCCCAAGGGGACGGGCCCGAAAGGCAGGGGCGGCACCGUGUCCGGUCCUCGAGCGUAUGGGAAGCAACUUUUUGUCACCCGCUCCUGUAGGUCCGGCCGGCGGCCUGCCCAACCCCAACCUUUUUUUCAACCAGGUUGACCUCGGAUCAGGUAGGGAUACCCGCUGAACUUAAGC